UUGACCUCAAAUCAGGUAGGACUACCCGCUGAACUUAAGCAUAUCAAUAAGCGGAGGAAAAGAAACUAACAAGGAUUCCCCUAGUAACUGCGAGUGAAGCGGGAAGAGCUCAAAUUUGAAAUCUGGCAGCUCUCUGAACUGUCCGAGUUGUAAUCUAGAGAAGUGUUACCUGUGCUGGACCGUGUACAAGUCUCCUGGAAUGGAGCGUCACAGAGGGUGAGAAUCCCGUCUUUGACACGGACUGCCUGCAUGUUAUGGUGCGCUCUCAAAGAGUCGAGUUGUUUGGGAAUGCAGCUCAAAAUGGGUGGUAAAUGCCAUCUAAAGCUAAAUAUUGGCGAGAGACCGAUAGCGAACAAGUACCGUGAGGGAAAGAUGAAAAGAACUUUGGAAAGAGAGUUAAACAGUACGUGAAAUUGCUGAAAGGGAAACGCUUGAAGUCAGUCGCGUCGGCUAGAAAUCAACCUUGCUUUUGCUUGGUGUACUUUCUUGUUGAUGGGUCAGCAUCAAUUUUGACCGUUGGAUAAAGUCGUUGGGAAUGUGGCAUCUUAGGAUGUGUUAUAGCCCAUUGUCGCAUACAGCGGUUGGGAUUGAGGAACUCAGCACGCCCGCAAGGGACGGGUUUCGACCACGUUCGUGCUUAGGAUGCUGGCAUAAUGGCUUUAAUCGACCCGU
This 672-nucleotide ribosomal RNA is filed under the name Inocybe auricoma. RNAcentral describes it as "eukaryotic LSU rRNA". It matches the Rfam family "Eukaryotic large subunit ribosomal RNA", at positions 1 to 652 of the family's 3401-position model. The record is from RNAcentral. Lineage: Eukaryota; Fungi; Basidiomycota; Agaricomycetes; Agaricales; Inocybaceae.